AAAGCACUCUGAAGAGAGAGUUAAAUAGUACGUAAAACCGUACAGAAGAAAACGAAUGGCCGCAUUCAUCAGAUUACUUUGAAUUCAAUUCGAUCUCUAUAUGAUGGUGAUACAUGUUGAUUUCGAACUUCAACAGUCGAUCGAUAUGUUAUUGCUUGGAGUCGGAUGCAUUUUCAAAGUAUUAACUGAACCUGGAUCUAUAACAUUGAAAGCUAGUCGAAUCAGUCUAUUUUGGUGGCGAGUUUACUCGUGUUAAAAAUAUGACUUGCAUAAAUAACAAAUUCGACUUGGCGUUAUAGGUAAACAGACAAGUUCUUUGAUUUCAGUACUUUCGAGUACGGCAUACUAUGUGCAUUGUUGGUGUCACAUGAGUAACUAAUAUUUAACCGAUAUUAGUUUUAUUCAUUGUCGGUGCCUAAUGUUGUAUGGUUGUCAAUGAAAUCGGCAAGUCUACAGGAGUUUUGAAUGCCGAGUUAUUCGACCCGUCUUGAAACACGGUCUAAGGAGUUCACUGCAUGUGCAAGAGUUCGGCUGUAUGAAAAGCCUUGCUCGUAAUGAAAGUAAAGAACAUUCUUGCAAUGUUUUAAGUGUGAUUUCUGUCAUCUGGUGCAAAUCAUGACAAUGAACGCAACACUGACAGGUUCUAUUGCCGUUGGCAAAGAGCUUAGUAAGAGUAUAUGCAAUGAGACCCGAAAGAUGGUGAACUUAAUGUGUGUAGAAUGAAGCCAGGGGAAACCCUGGUGGAAGUUCGUAGCGGUUCUGACGUGCAAAUCGAUCGUCAAACAUGCAUUAAGGGGCGAAAGACUAAUCGAACCAUCUAGUAGCUGGUUCCGUCCGAAGUUUCCCUCAGGAUAGCUGGCAUUCAAUUUUCACAGUUAUAUCCGGUAAAGCGAAUGUUUAGAGGCCUUGGGCGUAAAAUACGCUCAACCUAUUGACAAACUUUAAAUGGGUAUGAAGUUCAUUUUUCUACUUCAUUGAGAAUGAACAGCGAAUGUGAGUGCCAAGUGGGCCAUUUUUGGUAAGCAGAACUGGCGCUGUUGGAUGCACAAAACGUCAAGAUAAAGAGCCAGAUGGUCUCGCUCAUCAGAUACCAUAAAAGGUGUUGGUCGAUAUAGACAGCAGGACGGUGGCCAUGGAAGUCGGAAUCCGUUAAGGAGUGUGUAACAACUCACCUGCCGAAUCGACUAGUCCUAAAAAUGGAUGGCGCUCGAGCGAGCCUCUUAUACUUGACUGUUACGAUACAAUAAGCCAUUAUAACGGACAUCAUGUCGUAACAAGUAGGACGGUUGAUAUGGUUGCGUCGAAGGCUAACACGUGAGUGUGGCUUGAGCAGUCAUAUGUACAGAUCUUAGUGGUAGUAGCAACUAUUCAAAUGAGAACUUUGAAGACUGACGUGGAGAAAGGUUCCAUGUGAACAGCUAUUGGACAUGGGUCAGUCAGUCCUAAGAUGCGCUCGAAAGAGGGUUCCGAACGAGGAAUAUUUAUAUUCAUUUUAUUUAUAUUCCAUCAAAUCGAAAGGGAAACAAGUUAAUAUUCUUGUACUAAGUGUCGGAGAUUGUUUGAUUUCUUGUCAAACAUAUGUGGUAACACAAACAAGCUCAAAUACAUCACAAGUGGUCCUGGAAAGAGUUUUCUCUUCUUUGUUACUUCAUCAGACGACCCUGGAAUCAGUUCAACUGGAGAUAGGGUUCAAAUGAAGGUAAAGAGUAGCCGUUCUUGCUACUUCCUCGGUGCAUCAUUUGUGAUCCUUGAAAAUUUGAGCGAGAUAUUCAAUUUCGCACUUAUCUGUACUCUAAACCGCAUCAGGUCUCCAAGGUGAAAAGCCUCUAGUCAAUUAGAACAAGGUAGCACAAGGGAAGUCGGCAAAAUCGAUCGGCAACUUCGGGAUAACGAUUGGCUCUAAGUGCUAGGGUGUUCGGGCUUGAUGAUAAAGCAGUAGACUUGCUAUUGGAGCUGAGCUUUCGGAUACAGCAAUGUGUCUGAUCGUUCGGACUAGUGGCUUGUCUUGCUGUGGAAUUGUUUUGCUACGGUAUGCGAUUCGCUUGCGGGUCGUAUUACUUCGGACAUCGUUUAAUAGCAAACUUAGAACUCGCUGCGUCUAGGGGAAUCCGACUGUCUAAUUAAAACAGAGCUUUGCGAUUGGCCGGAAAACUUGGUGUUGACGCAAAGUGAUUUCUGCCCAGUGCUCUGAAUGUUAACGUGAAGAAAUUCAAAUAAGCGCGGGUAAACGGCGGGAGUAACUAUGACUCUCUUCUGGUAGCCAAAUGCCUCGUCAUCUAAUUAGUGACGCGCAUGAAUGGAUUAACGAGAUUCCCACUGUCCCUGUCUACUAUCUAGCGAAACCACAGCCAAGGGAACGGGCUUGGACUUCAAUGCGGGGAAAGAAGACCCUGUUGAGCUUGACUCUAAUCUGUCUUCGUAAAGAGACUUGAAAAAUGUAGCGUAGAUGGGAGUGGCAACACGUCAAUGAAACACCAUUAUUUUCAUUGUUUCUUUACUUACUUGGUUAUACAGAGAUUGGAUUUUAUAUCCAGUGUUUGAGUGACAAAUAUCGAUACUUGUAUCGGUGUGAUCUGCUUCAAGGAAAGAGACAGGUGGGGAGUUUGGCUGGGGCGGUACAUCUAUCAAAUGUUAACGUAGGUGUCCAAAAGUUGACUCAGUGCGGACAGAAACCACACAUUGAGUAAAAGGGCAUAAGUCAGCUUGAUUUAGAUUUUCAGUACGAAUACAGACGGAGAAAUCCGGGCCUAUCGAUCCUUUUGAUUUAACGAGUUUUUUGCAAGAGGUGACAGAAAAGUUACCACAGGGAUAACUGGCUUGUGGCGGCCAAGCGUUCAUAGCGACGUCGCUUUUUGAUCCUUCGAUGUC
This 2868-nucleotide ribosomal RNA is filed under the name Rotaria rotatoria. RNAcentral's name for it is "eukaryotic LSU rRNA". It matches the Rfam family "Eukaryotic large subunit ribosomal RNA", at positions 368 to 2885 of the family's 3401-position model. The record is from RNAcentral. Lineage: Eukaryota; Metazoa; Rotifera; Eurotatoria; Philodinida; Philodinidae.